This 264-nucleotide unclassified non-coding RNA is filed under the name Hevea brasiliensis (rubber tree). Lineage: Eukaryota; Viridiplantae; Streptophyta; Magnoliopsida; Malpighiales; Euphorbiaceae. The record is from RNAcentral.
GGAAAAAUGAUAGGGGAAGGAAAAAAAAAAGAUAAUUCUUUUAUUUUGUUGGAGGGAAAAAGGAAGAAAGAAAAAUUAAAAUUGAAUUCUUCCUUGCUUUUAAGAAGGAAAAUAUGAAAAGAAAAAAAUUUAUUUGGAUUUGCAUGGUAGGCCAUUUUAUUUUCCACCCAAAUUGAGGAAAUAGUGAAAACAGUAUUAAUUUUUUCUAUUUUCCCUCUAUGCCCUUUUUUCCUCAAAUAGUUAUUUUUUAAUAUAAUUUUAUUU